This 202-nucleotide ribosomal RNA is filed under the name Escherichia coli. Its description in RNAcentral is "partial 23S ribosomal RNA". It matches the Rfam family "Bacterial large subunit ribosomal RNA", at positions 2031 to 2232 of the family's 2925-position model. Lineage: Bacteria; Pseudomonadati; Pseudomonadota; Gammaproteobacteria; Enterobacterales; Enterobacteriaceae. The record is from RNAcentral.
ACUCAGUGAAAUUGAACUCGCUGUGAAGAUGCAGUGUACCCGCGGCAAGACGGAAAGACCCCGUGAACCUUUACUAUAGCUUGACACUGAACAUUGAGCCUUGAUGUGUAGGAUAGGUGGGAGGCUUUGAAGUGUGGACGCCAGUCUGCAUGGAGCCGACCUUGAAAUACCACCCUUUAAUGUUUGAUGUUCUAACGUUGAC